GCCCCCAUCGUCUAGAGGUUAGGACAGUUCUCUUUCAAGGAGCGGGCGGGGAUUCAAAUUCCCCUGGGGGUA
This 72-nucleotide transfer RNA is filed under the name Oenothera villaricae. RNAcentral describes it as "tRNA-Glu". It matches the Rfam family "tRNA". From Rfam's summary of the family: Transfer RNA (tRNA) molecules are approximately 80 nucleotides in length. Their secondary structure includes four short double-helical elements and three loops (D, anti-codon, and T loops). The record is from RNAcentral. RNAcentral also lists the same sequence under 1 other name. Lineage: Eukaryota; Viridiplantae; Streptophyta; Magnoliopsida; Myrtales; Onagraceae.